GAUUACUACUUACUACAAUAUCACCAAUCCACAGAAAUUAAAUUGUGUUGUCUAAGGAUUUUUGUUACUACCAACAUUAUCCCCUCUUUUUUUAUGGAAAUGUGUAAUCGUAUGGAGCAUGUGCGUGACCACAGAGCAUGCGCAUGUGGUUACAAAGCAUAAUCAUUUCGCUACACUUCGUCGGUAUGAUAGAUUUUCUAACCUGAAUAAUCGUCAACUUUAACGAUUAAUAUCUUGGUUAACUGAGGAGAGCGACGUUUAUUUCUCCUGGAUUCUUUUGUUUUGUGCAAAAACGCAUCGAAUGAGCCUAAUUUUAUCACAAUUGGAGAUGACCUAAACUGUAUAAUUACCGAAAACGCUUUAGUGUACAUACAUUUCUUGCACUAGUUUCAGGAAUAAAUAACAAACCUCUAAUAUCAGUACCUCAGUUCGCAGGGCAGAGCGACAUUUUUUUCUGCAGAUUCUUUCAUUUCAACGCAAAAACGCAUUGAAUAAGCUUAAUUACAUCGAAUUUGAGUGAUUACAAUGAAUUCUUACAAAAAGAAACAAUCAACAUUGGAAGAGCAAGAAAAACAAGAACGACUUAGAUUGAAAAGGAAAGAAUGGUUUAUCCAACAGGAAUUGGAGAGAAAACACCAGGAACGAAAGUUAAAAAUGAUUGAAGAAUACGAAAAGAAGCGAGCUGAAACAAUAAAAAUUGAUAAAUCAAGGUGGAAAGCAUCAAUGAUAUUUAAAGGUCCAGAAGAUAUAAUCAUUAAUGAAAAAGAGCUGCAUAAUAUCAAGAUAAAAAUUAAUAAUAAGGGAAAUCUGUUAAUAAAAGAUCGAAAUAUGUCAAAAGAGAUUGAACGAGACAUAAUAAAUCCAGAUGACAUAAUUCUUCCAAGAAGAUCAAAUGAAGGCUCUUGUCCAAUAUUUGAAAGAAAUAAAAAGAGAAACAUUGAAGACAUACAGAUUAUCAAAUUUUCACAAGAUAAGCAAACAGAAAAAUCCUCAACAAGUGAGAAGAAUGCUCAUACAUACAAAACAAAUCUUGGUUAUGACUUAGUCACUCAACGUUACGGGCAGAUCUUUGCAAAAAUUGUGACUGGAUUUUCAGAGAGAUAUUCACUUUUUGACGAGAUGAAAGUCAUUUGAUGAUGAACUUGUAAAAAGUCAGUGAUUUUAGAUUGCAUGUGCCAACCAGACAUCGAAUUUAUCAAACGGAUAAUGAUGAUAGACAAAAGCACAACAGAUGGCAAAAUAGUUCAAUAAGAGAUAAUAAAAAGAAAGAUGGGAACGAACGAAGAGUUAGAAAUUCAUACUAUAGUAGCCGCAGGAUAUCCACUAGGAAUCGAUCGAAAUCUCAGUGCAGCAUUUACCUAGACCAAUGCCGAUGCCCACCAGAAUACAAGCACCACCAAUAGUUAUGCCCGUCCUCUCGGAACUAAUUCCUGCGCCAUUUCCACCGAUGAAUAUCCAUUGGCAUCAGUUUUCUCCCAGAUUUGUCAGUGGCAGAGGAAGCAAUCACAUACACAAUCCACAUUAAUCAAUAUUAGUCGCGCGCGUAUAUAAAGUAUCUGAAAAGAAUUUUAUACAUACCUUGAUAAACCAGCAGAAAUAGAUUUUGAACAACUAUAUUAUCUAGAUAUUAUAUUCUGUCAGAAAGGCAGCAAAUUUCAAACAGAAUAAUUUGUAAUAUCUGAUAAUGUCGACAAACUACUGUCAAAAAUAUGACAAAUUGCUAACAUCCCAGUAAACGAAAAUGGAUUAAAAUUUUCAGAAGUAUGUAUUCGUAAACAUUGAAAUGAAUCCAUAUCAAUGCUCAUUACGUUUGUAUUAAUUUAUAGGAAUUGAAUGAAACAUAUUUUUAUACCUUUCAAUCCAGAAAUAGAUUCAGUCUUAAAAAGUGGAUCGUGAAUACUGUUCAAUUCAAAAUUCUGGAUAGGAAAUGCAAUUUUUCAAUCCAAUAUAAACCAAAUUCAAUCCAAUUUAAUUCAAUUAAAUAUAAAAAAGUUUUCCGUAUGUGUGUGUGCGUGCGUGCGUGCGUGCGUGCGUGCGUGUGUGUGUGUGUGAAAAUAUUAUUAUACAUAUCAACGAAUACAAAAGCACUGAACAUUGAAAUGGAUUCAUUUCAUGUUGACGAAUGUGUGCUUCUGAAAAUUUCAAUACAUUUUAUUUAUUUUCGUUUACUAUGGGAUGUUAUGUCAAUUGGCAGCAGAAAUCAAGUAGAAUCUGAUAUGACGGCCUAAAAUGGCGGCAGAUUAGCAGCAAAAAUCAAAUAGAUUUUGCGUCGCGGAGUCUGCUUGAUUUCUGCUGCUAAUCUGCUGACAGCUAAAACUGCUAAAAUUAAUAGAUUCUGUCAACAUAACAUGCGGAAUAUGAUCUCGGAUGAAGUCAACCUACUAACGUUUUCUGACUAGGUGUUAAAUCUGUUGCCAGAUUGCCGAUAUUUCGCUAACAUUUUGCUGACUAGGUGGGUGUAUGCAUACGUGCGUGCGUGUGCGCGCGCGCGCGUGCGUAUAUAAAAUACUUAGAUUAUUUCAUGUAUCUUCGAUUGCAAGAGGUUUUGAUAUGGGUUAAUGCCAUUAUAAUGUACUUCCUGCUUUCCUGUUUUUUUUCCCAACGCUCGUAUUCUGUUUUCAUCUCAUUUUAUAUGCAUAAAUUGCAGUAUAAUGGCAUAACCGAAUUAAAAGUCACUGCUAUCGAAAACAUCAGUUUAACAUUACAUUAACAACUACGUGCCUUAUAUAAAUUUUAAUUCUAAUGAUUAUUGGGAUAAUAAGUAUCUCAAUUUUAAUAAGAUUUAUUUUAAUAAGGUUAUUUUAAUAAGGUUUUCUUAAAUUGACUUUUUUUACUGUAGUAAAUAAAAACAUUUUACAAUAUGGAUGAUAA
This is an unclassified non-coding RNA of Pogonomyrmex barbatus (red harvester ant), 2871 nucleotides long. The record is from RefSeq and is a predicted model, not a curated record. NCBI's taxonomy places the organism in Eukaryota, Metazoa, Arthropoda, Insecta, Hymenoptera, Formicidae.